UCAAUAGAAGCCAAAUAGAGGCUCUCCACUGUUAAUGGAGAGAUUGAGAUUUUCUCCUUUUGAA
RNAcentral lists this transfer RNA (64 nucleotides) under Heterophrynus longicornis. Its description in RNAcentral is "tRNA-Asn". The record is from RNAcentral. Lineage: Eukaryota; Metazoa; Arthropoda; Arachnida; Amblypygi; Phrynidae.